GGGAGAGUUCUGGAUGACUUCUCUGAACAGCAUGGGGUCAAGGAUGACUGCCAAGACAUCAGAUGUCAUCACACCUGCCUUUCUCCUGGAUGUCUUUUCUUAUCAUUACAGUUGAAAUGCAAGAGAAACCCUAAAAGAAAUGUGAAGCUGAGAAGGACACAGCUCUCUGACCAUGACCACAGGAAGUGUGAUAGGACAGAAAUACAAUGGCUGUCAAAGAAGAAAACUCUACAUUACUGUCACCUAGAAAGAUAAACUCUACAGUUGGAAAUUCUGUCCAAUUUCUUCCAUGUGGCAGAUGCUGUGAUGAGCCACCGAGAUCCUCCUUCAGGAAGGAAGACUUAUUCCUCCAGAUGCUAAGAGUGCUACUGGAGGAUGGCUCUCAGCUGUGAGCCCUCAGCUGAAGACAGUUGUCUCACCUUGAUCAGGCCUCCUUCCAGAAGUAGCCUGCCUUUGAUGACAAACUGAUUGGGCUGAGGGGAACACUAUAAAGGCCAGUUCUCAGUCCCUAUUUGAUAUGACUCUCAAGAUUAAAGCUAGUGCAGUGCUCCCCAUGGGGACAGGGGAAGGCUUCUUUGGGACUGGUUUGCAGAUCACAUUCCCCAUCUGCCCAGCUCUGCUUCUCCCCCAACCCCUCCAUGGUCCAGGAGCUCUCCCAAAUAAAUGAUCUGCCGACUAACCUCAGUCCAGUUAGCUUUCUGGAAAGCCCAACCUGCAACAUUUACUUAUAAAAAAGUAAAAUUGUUGGGUUUUGGAUGAGAUCCAUUACAUCUGAUUAUUAAUUUGGCAGGAAUCAACAUUUUUACUAUAAUAUAUUGUCUUCCCACUGUAUAUUUUUCUAUCUGUUUCAUUUUUUCUUAUAAUCUCAAAAACAGUUUGAAGUAUUCUUCACAUAGGAUCUGGAGUUUCUUUUUAAGACUAUUCCCAAGUAUUUUUCAUUUGGCAUUGAUAUUAUUAGUGAGAUCUAGUACUUUUUCCUCCCUAUGGUGCAAAAUAAAUUUACAAUCCCAGACUAUCUUGUAGAAGAAAUUACAUUAUUUUGUGUGGCUUCAAAGUCCAGAAGUGGGAUGAUGGAAACAAAUUACACAAAGACACCUUUUAGUUCACUAUAUGCACAACAUUUCCAAGAACUAGGGUGGUCCACUUACUCCAUCUCUGAGGAAGACAUGAAAAAGACUACCUUCAGGGAUUGAGAGUCCCAUGACCAUGGAAGCACAUAAGAAGGAAUCAAAUAAUUAUUUCAGAGAUGUGAUAGACUAGACUCAUGUGUAUACUUGGACUAGAUAAUCUGAAUCCAAGAUUCAGCAACCAGGCUGCUUGAGGAAGCCUGACUUUACAUCAUCCACAUUUCUCCCUCUCUGUUCUACUGGACAGAGCCUUACAAACCACCCUUCCUGUUCUUCUGGCUCUGAAUCAUGUUUUUAUCUGAGGUCUUGCUAAAGCAAGAAGAAUAUGUUUAAGAGUUAUCUUAUCACAGAAACAUAUCUAAGUAGAGAAGUAGGAUUGAUUCAAGAAAUCUGUGACUACUUGAAAUGUGAAUUAAGCUUCAUCACUAGCUAUGAGGACCUGGAGUGAACUCAUAAAACAAAAACCAGAGAAAUAUAGUCUACAGAAAACAGGAACUGAAGAAUAUACUCAUAAUUUAAAGCAGGAAUUGGCAGAUGGCAGCCCAAAGACCCAAUCCAUUUCACCACCUGUUUUUUAAAUAAAGUUUUAUUGGAACACAGUUACACUCAUUCAUUUACAUGUUAUCUACAGCUGCUUUUGUGUUACAGGUAGAGUGGAAUAGUUGUCAGAGACGCCAUAUGUCCUGCAAAAUGUUGCCAACUCAUUGCUUGGAAGCAAAGUAACCUAAAUAAUCCAGUGGUUAAGACAUGAACUUUAGAGUCAGACUAAGCUUUGAAUUUUGAUUCUAUUAUUUUGUCAUUGUAUGACCUUAAGCAAUAAACAUGUCAUUUUCAA
Molecule: long non-coding RNA, 1962 nt
Organism: Homo sapiens (human)
Lineage: Eukaryota; Metazoa; Chordata; Mammalia; Primates; Hominidae
Source: Ensembl